This 497-nucleotide ribosomal RNA is filed under the name uncultured bacterium. Its description in RNAcentral is "partial 16S ribosomal RNA". It matches the Rfam family "Bacterial small subunit ribosomal RNA", at positions 28 to 507 of the family's 1533-position model. The record is from RNAcentral.
GAUGAACGCUGGCGGCGUGCCUAAUACAUGCCAGUCGAGCGAACAGACGAGGAGCUUGCUCCUCUGACGUUAGCGGCGGACGGGUGAGUAACACGUGGAUAACCUACCUAUAAGACUGGGAUAACUUCGGGAAACCGGAGCUAAUACCGGAUAAUAUAUUGAACCGCAUGGUUCAAUAGUGAAAGACGGUUUUGCUGUCACUUAUAGAUGGAUCCGCGCCGCAUUAGCUAGUUGGUAAGGUAACGGCUUACCAAGGCAACGAUGCGUAGCCGACCUGAGAGGGUGAUCGGCCACACUGGAACUGAGACACGGUCCAGACUCCUACGGGAGGCAGCAGUAGGGAAUCUCCCGCAAUGGGCGAAAGCCUGACGGAGCAACGCCGCGUGAGUGAUGAAGGUCUUCGGAUCGUAAAACUCUGUUAUUAGGGAAGAACAAAUGUGUAAGUAACUAUGCACGUCUUGACGGUACCUAAUCAGAAAGCCACGGCUAACUACGUG